AGCAAGCAGAUCCGGGCACCCCUCCCAGGUCCUAAAGCCUGCAAAAACCCAAAGAGUUCGUGGCGCUGGUGGCUCCAGCUGUUAGUUUCCCGGGCAGUCUCCGGGUUGGAUUUGCACCCUGGGGUCUACACGGGUUAAAAACGCGGAAAAAAGGCGACGAAGAAAUACAAACUGCCAGGGUGUCGAAAUGAAAGGAGCGACUGUGAAAGGGGUAAGGAAAAAUCCAAGCCAUCUCUACGGGGAGGAUCCAGAAAGCACCAGCCGCGCCAGGGGGUCAACCAACUCCGACACCGCUCGGCGUCAGCUGGGCGCCACCAGGCGCGGACUUCGGAGCGAGGGC
RNAcentral lists this long non-coding RNA (340 nucleotides) under Homo sapiens (human). Its description in RNAcentral is "LHRI_LNC1026.1". Lineage: Eukaryota; Metazoa; Chordata; Mammalia; Primates; Hominidae. The record is from RNAcentral.